This 71-nucleotide transfer RNA is filed under the name Camelus ferus (Wild Bactrian camel). It matches the Rfam family "tRNA". Rfam says of the family: Transfer RNA (tRNA) molecules are approximately 80 nucleotides in length. The record is from Rfam by way of RNAcentral. Lineage: Eukaryota; Metazoa; Chordata; Mammalia; Artiodactyla; Camelidae.
GAGGGUAGAGCUCAGUGGUGAGCACAUGCUAAACACGCACGAGGUCAUGGGUUCAAUCCCCAGUACCUCCA